This 2725-nucleotide long non-coding RNA is filed under the name Gallus gallus (chicken). Lineage: Eukaryota; Metazoa; Chordata; Aves; Galliformes; Phasianidae. The record is from RNAcentral.
GCCCCGCAGCCCCCGCGGCCGCAGCAGCAGCAGCAGCAGCAGCAGCCGCCCCGGGCGGCCUCCGCUAAGCGGUUCCGGUUCAGGCGGGCGGUGACGCCUCCGCGCCGGGCGGGCGGCGGCAGCGGGGCCGUGCUCGCCCCCCGUGCGUGUGGGUCUGCUUGCGCCUCAACCGCCCGCGGUGCUGAGGGGGCGCGGAGGGGCCGGGCCCGCUGCUCUCAGGCGUCCCCGAAUCGUACUGCGGGUGCGCGCGGCUGUACAGAACGUGGAAGUAUGGCUGUGUGCUGCGGUAUGUCGCGGAGCGCAACCCCUGCCCGGCGGGGCGUCGGCUGCUGCUCGCCCUGAGGCGCUCAGCUGGCGGGAGCCCGAGGGCCGCCCCUCCGCUGCCGCUGCCCCGGGGACGACCCUGGAGGCGGCGUUCCUCUUUCCACAGCCGCCCACCGGCCCGGUCCUGGCCGCCGUGCGCUCCGUGUCACCUCAGGGCUGGGCCCAAACGCGGCUGCAGCGCUGUCAGCCCAGCAGCACGUCUGUGUGCAGCGCCCGGGCGGCUCUCACUGCUGGUCCCCGGGUCCUUAGGAAUCCUCUGAGGACACCUCUACGUCCCGCUGCGUUCAGGGCUUUCCCAGCCAAACACAUAUUGAGUAUCAGUGUCAGACUGAAGAUGGAGAUCGUGGAUGAUUCUCCUUAGCUUUUUUUAUAUCUUUUUUCAUCCUUUUCCUUUUAUCUCCGCAAUCUAAGCAAAUCUCGUGACUACUGGAGGUCUGAGUCAUGGCACUCCAAUGAUUACAGCGAUAACUGCUGAACAGAAAAGCAUUUGUGUAUUUAUAAAAAAAAUGCUUCAGCUUAUCUCCUGGUAUCUGAUGUUCUUGUAAGAUCAGCUCAAGGCAGAUAAUUACACACAAGGCUUUAGGGUUGCCAUCUAUUUUUUUUUUUUUUUCAGAUCACACAUUGCAAAGAAAAAAAAAGGUUAGUUUUCAGCUAGCUUCAACGUCUCCUUGAUGUGAACGUACUCCAGUGGGGUGCAAACCAAAGCGUUAAAGAAAUAUUGUUUCUUAGAACUCUGUUGAGCGUGGGCUCCUGUCACUAAUGUUGCAGUAACGUAAACAGGACCGUGGUGAGGCCCUCUGUGUCUGAGUAACACAAGUACGUGCAGCAUCUUCUGUGUCAGUGUCUGCUGUGGUUUGCCUCCCGACAAAAGGAUAUUCAGGAUUUGCUGGUGCUCUGCUUCAGAAGGACCAUUCUGUAUAGGAUGUAGCAUCUCACUACCACAUAGUUCACUGCUGCUGGGCACGCCCUGCCCUCAGACCAGGCCGUGGCAUAAGCUCUGCUCACCUCGCCUGCUCAAAUAAAUCUCCGAGACCAUUCUGAAGUUUAAGAUUAUGGAUUUGCCUGAGGGGCUUUAUGCAGCAGCUGAGGAACACUAUAAAGCAUCUAAAACUCAGGCCCAGACUGGUCAUCACUGAGAUACCUGUGUCUACAAAGGGCUAGCUCCUGCAUGAAGAUACUUUUUAAUCUGUAGCAUCUUCACUAUACAGAAGACAAUGUACUUUUAUAGGUUAAAUGUUAAUGAUGUGACUCAUUAAAUUCUGUGCUUGAAAUCUUCUUGGUACAUCAUCAAAAGCUGUACAUGAUUCAAACCAGCAGAUGCGGAUUACUGCUUUGCUUAGAUGCAGUUUCUAUCUAUUUGGGAUAGAAAGAAGUGGUAAAUGUUGUUUAGCACCAAACUACUUUCUGCUUGCAAACCUAAUGAUACAGGAAGCACAGGUUUAAAAAAAAAUCCAUUAAAAUAAACAAUUGGUGAUAACUGGAGCUUUGACUCUGGUUAUCUUUCAUACACACACAGAAGUUUGUCAUAGAAUACCUUCCCCACACUGCCACCUAAUGUUUAACAGGAGUCCUACUAAUACUUUAGGCAUUAAGUCUAAAAUGCCAUUUUGCCAAAUUUAUCAGUUAAUUGUUGUAUGGGAUUUUAAGCAAAAACUUUGAAUGAUCAUGCCUGUGUCCAAAAUGAAAAGUGAUCUGGCUGGCCAACUGAAUCAUGACCUAAACUCGGUUAAUUGUAAUUCCUACAUUUAUUUUGCUCAUAAUACUGACAUCCAAAUCAACUGGAAUGGUGGUGAUGAACAGCCGAGGGAUAUUAGUUAUCAACCCUCUGAUAAUAUUAUUUAUUAGUACUUAUGUUCAUUACUGCAAUUCCAAAUCCAGUGGCAGCAAAACUAUCUUGAUUCCGACCCAACCAAGAUGGCAAAACCUUUUACUGUGUUCCUCAAGAGGAUACGUUGCCAUAUCACGUCUCAGUCUUCACUCAGAUGUUCACCCCUAUGGACUGCAGGGACUGAUCCCGUGGUACAUUUCUCCUUUGCUUAGCUGUUGAUUCUUCAAGGAUUAAGGCAGCCUUCUCUUUCCUGGAGGGAGUAAUCCAGUGCUUGCCAAAAAACAUCCUUCCAGCCAUGUCACAAGCUAUCUGAAGCCCUUCCAAUGCCUACUCCAACCACUAUGCUGUCAGCAGAGGCAGCUGGAGGUACUUGGCAAAAUGAUCCUGCAGUGACUGUUCACAGCAAAGACAUCAAGUCUUAGCAAGAUUCAUGUAAUGUAUGGAGCUACUGCUUAGUGUGACCCAACUUAAAAUAUUCAGAUUGCUUAUCUUGUUUCUUAGAAAGUAAGCAGCAUUUCUGAAUCAGAGAGAAAUAUGUAAAGAGUAAAUCAUUAUUUUGAAUACAGAGGAAAG